CCUACGGGCGGCUGCAGUGGGGAAUAUUGCACAAUGGGCGCAAGCCUGAUGCAGCCAUGCCGCGUGUGUGAAGAAGGCCUUCGGGUUGUAAAGCACUUUCAGCGGGGAGGAAGGCGGUGAGGUUAAUAACCUCAUCGAUUGACGUUACCCGCAGAAGAAGCACCGGCUAACUCCGUGCCAGCAGCCGCGGUAAUACGGAGGGUGCAAGCGUUAAUCGGAAUUACUGGGCGUAAAGCGCACGCAGGCGGUCUGUCAAGUCGGAUGUGAAAUCCCCGGGCUCAACCUGGGAACUGCAUUCGAAACUGGCAGGCUAGAGUCUUGUAGAGGGGGGUAGAAUUCCAGGUGUAGCGGUGAAAUGCGUAGAGAUCUGGAGGAGUACCGGUGGCGAAGGCGGCCCCCUGGACAAAGACUGACGCUCAGGUGCGAAGGCGUGGGGAGCAAACAGGAUUAGAUACCCUAGUAGUC
This 465-nucleotide ribosomal RNA is filed under the name uncultured Klebsiella sp. Its description in RNAcentral is "bacterial SSU rRNA". It matches the Rfam family "Bacterial small subunit ribosomal RNA", at positions 338 to 795 of the family's 1533-position model. The record is from RNAcentral. Lineage: Bacteria; Pseudomonadati; Pseudomonadota; Gammaproteobacteria; Enterobacterales; Enterobacteriaceae.